AGCGAACGCUGGCGGCGUACUUAACACAUGCAAGUCGAACGAGGAUCAUCGGUGUAGCAAUACAUCGGUGGUCCUAGUGGCGCACGGGUGAGUAACACGUGGGUAACCUGCCCUUGAGCUCGGGAUACCCCCUCGAAAGGGGGGCUAAUACCGGAUACGUUCCUCGGAUCGACAGGUCUGGGGAGGAAAGGUGGCGCAAGCUGCCGCUCUUGGAGGGGCUCGCGGCCUAUCAGCUAGUUGGCGGGGUAACGGCCCACCAAGGCUAUGACGGGUAGCUGGUCUGAGAGGACGACCAGCCACACGGGGACUGAGACACGGCCCCGACUCCUACGGGAGGCAGCAGUGGGGAAUUUUCCGCAAUGGGCGAAAGCCUGACGGAGUGACGCCGCGUGUGGGACGAAGGCCUUCGGGUCGUAAACCACUGUCAGUGGGAAAGAAGGAUGUCGGUGCUAAUACCACCGGCAUUUGACGGUACCUGCAGAGGAAGCCCCGGCCAACUCUGUGCCAGCAGCCGCGGUAAGACAGAGGGGGCAAGCGUUGCUCGGAAUUACUGGGCGUAAAGGGCGCGUAGGCGGGAUGGCAAGUCGGUCGUGAAAUCCUUCGGCUCAACCGAAGAACGUCGAUCGAUACUGCUGUUCUUGAGGGUUGCAGAGGAGACUGGAAUUCCCGGUGUAGCGGUGAAAUGUGUAGAGAUCGGGAGGAACACCGGUGGCGAAGGCGGGUCUCUGGGCAAUUCCUGACGCUGAGGCGCGAAAGCGUGGGGAGCAAACGGGAUUAGAUACCCCGGUAGUCCACGCUGUAAACGAUGACGACUAGGUGUGGGGGGGGUUCAGUCCCUUCCGUGCCGCAGCUAACGCAUUAAGUCGUCCGCCUGGGGAGUACGGCCGCAAGGUUGAAACUCAA
Molecule: ribosomal RNA, 903 nt
Filed under: uncultured bacterium
Lineage: Bacteria
Description: bacterial SSU rRNA
Rfam family: Bacterial small subunit ribosomal RNA
Source: RNAcentral